UUUAAAUUGGCAGAUUAGUGCAAUGAUUUUAGAAAUCAAAUAUAUUAUAUUAAUA
This 55-nucleotide transfer RNA is filed under the name Echiniscus testudo. Its description in RNAcentral is "tRNA-Leu1". The record is from RNAcentral. Lineage: Eukaryota; Metazoa; Tardigrada; Heterotardigrada; Echiniscoidea; Echiniscidae.